RNAcentral lists this ribosomal RNA (946 nucleotides) under uncultured archaeon. Its description in RNAcentral is "bacterial SSU rRNA". It matches the Rfam family "Archaeal small subunit ribosomal RNA", at positions 1 to 923 of the family's 1478-position model. The record is from RNAcentral.
UUCCGGUUGAUCCUGCCGGACCCCACUGCUAUCGGGAUAGGACUAAGACAUGCUAGUCAAGCGCUUUCUAGCUAAUGUGAGAGCGCGGCGUACAGCUCAGUAACACGUGGCCAACCUGCCCUUGGGACGGGAACACCCCCGGGAAACUGGGGUUAAUUCCCGAUAGGUGAAGAAGUCUGGAAUGAUUCUUCGCUCAAAAGACGUUUAUGACAUGCUCAUAUUCGUCGCCCAGGGAUGGGGCCGCGACCGAUCAGGUAGUUGGUGAGGCAAUGGCUCACCAAGCCUUUUACCGGUGCGGGCCGUGAGAGCGGGAGCCCGGAGAUGGGCACUGAGACAAGGGCCCAGGCCCCACGGGGCGCAGCAGUCGCGAAAAUUUUGCAAUACACGAAAGUGUGACAGAGCCAUCCCGAGUGCCAUCCGCUGAGGAAGGCUUUUACCCAGUAUAAAUAGCUGGGAGAAUAAGGAGAGGGCAAGUCUGGUGUCAGCCGCCGCGGUAAUACCAGCUCUCCGAGUAGUGUGGACGUUUAUUGGGCCUAAAGCAUCCGUAGCUUGCUAGAUAAGUCCUCUGUUAAAUCCACCGAUUCAAUCGUUGGAUUGCGGGGGAUACUGUUUGGCUAGGGGACGGGAGAGGUCGACGGUAUUUCCGGGGUAGGGGUGAAAUCCUAUAAUCCCGGGAGGACCACCAGUGGCGAAGGCUGUCGACUAGAACGCGCCCGACGGUGAGGGAUGAAAGCUGGGGGAGCGAACCGGAUUAGAUACCCGGGUAGUCCCAGCUGUAAACGAUGCAGGCUAGGUGUUUGGGCGGCCACGAGCCGCCCUAGUGCCGCAGGGAAGCUGUUAAGCCUGCCGCCUGGGGAGUACGGCCGCAAGGCUGAAACUUAAAGGAAUUGGCGGGGGAGCACCACAAGGGGUGAAGCUUGCGGUUUAAUUGGAGUCAACGCCGGGA